RNAcentral lists this transfer RNA (61 nucleotides) under Ictidomys tridecemlineatus (thirteen-lined ground squirrel). RNAcentral's name for it is "Spermophilus tridecemlineatus (thirteen-lined ground squirrel) tRNA". It matches the Rfam family "tRNA". Rfam says of the family: Transfer RNA (tRNA) molecules are approximately 80 nucleotides in length. Their secondary structure includes four short double-helical elements and three loops (D, anti-codon, and T loops). RNAcentral also lists the same sequence under 1 other name. The record is from Rfam by way of RNAcentral. Lineage: Eukaryota; Metazoa; Chordata; Mammalia; Rodentia; Sciuridae.
GGGGGUGUAGUUGAAUGGUAGAGCAUGUGAUUAUCCCUGGGUUCAAUUCCCAGCCCCCUCC